This 253-nucleotide ribosomal RNA is filed under the name uncultured bacterium. RNAcentral's name for it is "partial 16S ribosomal RNA". It matches the Rfam family "Bacterial small subunit ribosomal RNA", at positions 524 to 776 of the family's 1533-position model. The record is from RNAcentral.
UACGUAGGGUGCAAGCGUUGUCCGGAUUUAUUGGGCGUAAAGAGCGUGUAGGCGGCCAGGUAGGUCUGCUGUGAAAACUCGAGGCUCAACCUCGAGACGUCGGCGGAAACCAUCUGGCUAGAGUCCGGAAGAGGAGAGUGGAAUUCCUGGUGUAGCGGUGAAAUGCGCAGAUAUCAGGAAGAACACCCGUGGCGAAGGCGGCUCUCUGGGACGGUACUGACGCUGAGGAGCGAAAGCGUGGGGAGCGAACAGG